Pelodiscus sinensis (Chinese soft-shelled turtle) is the source of this 47-nucleotide non-coding RNA. Lineage: Eukaryota; Metazoa; Chordata; Testudines; Trionychidae. The record is from Rfam.
AUACAGGCUCUUUUAAGAGCCCCCCCACGCUUUCUCAAUAAGAGCUG